This 446-nucleotide long non-coding RNA is filed under the name Lonchura striata (white-rumped munia). Its description in RNAcentral is "domestica (Bengalese finch) lncRNA (ENSLSDG00000006555.1)". Lineage: Eukaryota; Metazoa; Chordata; Aves; Passeriformes; Estrildidae. The record is from RNAcentral.
UACACUCUUGAUCUCUCUCUUAAACAACUCUUAUAUUCCUUUUUUUUUUUUUUUUUUUUUUUUUUUUUUUUUUUAUUUUUUUUUUUUUUUUUUUUUUUUUUUUUUUUUUUUUUUUUUUUUUUUUUUGUUUUGAAGAAGUGUUUUCCAGAAUGUGUGGACUUCAUAGACAUCCACCUCUUAUUUUCAGAGGCAGUUUCAUACAAUCAAAAGUAUGGAAUGAAACUAUUCUGCUGCCCAGUGUCAAGGUCAGCUGUCCUCAGUCAUUGUGUGAAGCAGCCACGGAAAGACAGAAGAUGAAAGCUCCUAUUCCCAACUUGAUUCUCUUGUAUGCUACUCUGACCCAGAGCUUGAAGGUUGUAACCAAAAGGGGAUCAGGGUUCAGGGAAAAAUUCAGCACCUUCUCUUCGAGAGAGUCUAAAAGUCUUGACUUGAAAGUGAACUUGUGA